AAACAAUCAAAAGGCUUGUGGUUGCAGUUGGACUAUAUGUCAUAAAAAUCCAUGGAUUUCUUCCCUCAUCUGAUACUGGGAACCAUAGCAUUAUUAGAUUAAGAUUUAUUGCAUUUUGUAAUUUUGUUACCCAUCAUAAUCCACAGUUAGCGGGGCAUCUUAUUACCAUAUCAAAAAAGCAAGUCAUCAUGUAGACUUAAAACUGAUAAUCUAG
RNAcentral lists this unclassified non-coding RNA (214 nucleotides) under Hevea brasiliensis (rubber tree). Lineage: Eukaryota; Viridiplantae; Streptophyta; Magnoliopsida; Malpighiales; Euphorbiaceae. The record is from RNAcentral.